AUCCAGCUGAAGAGUCCCAAAUGAGAUUAAAUGUGCGUCCUGGAU
RNAcentral lists this non-coding RNA (45 nucleotides) under Schistosoma curassoni. Lineage: Eukaryota; Metazoa; Platyhelminthes; Trematoda; Strigeidida; Schistosomatidae. The record is from RNAcentral.